RNAcentral lists this ribosomal RNA (433 nucleotides) under uncultured bacterium. RNAcentral describes it as "partial 16S ribosomal RNA". It matches the Rfam family "Bacterial small subunit ribosomal RNA", at positions 29 to 507 of the family's 1533-position model. The record is from RNAcentral.
AACGAACGCUGGCGGCAUGCCUAACACAUGCAAGUCGAACGAGACCUUCGGGUCUAGUGGCGCACGGGUGCGUGACGCGUGGGAACCUGCCCUUAGGUUCGGAAUAACUCCCCGAAAGGGGUGCUAAUACCGGAUAAUGUCUUCGGACCAAAGAUUUAUCGCCUUUGGAUGGGCCCGCGUUGGAUUAGCUAGUUGGUAGGGUAAAAGCCUACCAAGGCGACGAUCCAUAGCUGGUCUGAGAGGAUGAUCAGCCACACUGGGACUGAGACACGGCCCAGAAUCCUACGGGAGGCAGGAGUGGGGAAUAUUGGACAAGGGGCGAAAGCCUGAUCCAGCAAUGCCGCGUGAGUGAUGAAGGCCUUAGGGUUGUAAAGCUCUUUUACCCGGGAUGAUAAUGACAGUACCGGGAGAAUAAGCUCCGGCUAACUCCGUG